Molecule: ribosomal RNA, 151 nt
Organism: Guillardia theta CCMP2712
Lineage: Eukaryota; Cryptophyceae; Pyrenomonadales; Geminigeraceae
Rfam family: 5.8S ribosomal RNA
About the family: 5.8S ribosomal RNA (5.8S rRNA) is a component of the large subunit of the eukaryotic ribosome. It is transcribed by RNA polymerase I as part of the 45S precursor that also contains 18S and 28S rRNA.
Source: Rfam
AACUCUUAACAAUGGAUAUCUUGGUUCUCGCAACGAUGAAGAACGCAGCGAAAUGCGAUACGUAGUGUGAAUUGCAGGGCUCAGUGAAUCAUCGAGACUUUGAACGCACAUUGCGCUCGUGCUCUGCACGAGCACGGCUGUCUGAGGGACG